UACGUAUGGUGCGAGCGUUAUCCGGAUUUACUGGGUGUAAAGGGAGCGCAGGCGGUUCUGCAAGUCUGAUGUGAAAGCCCGGGGCUCAACCGCGGGACUGCAUUGGAAACUGCGGGACUGGAGUGUCGGAGGGGUAAGCGGAAUUCCUGGUGUAGCGGUGAAAUGCGUAGAUAUCAGGAGGAACACCGGUGGCGAAGGCGGCUUACUGGACGAUGACUGACGCUGAGGCUCGAAAGCGUGGGGAGCAAACAGG
This 253-nucleotide ribosomal RNA is filed under the name uncultured bacterium. RNAcentral's name for it is "partial 16S ribosomal RNA". It matches the Rfam family "Bacterial small subunit ribosomal RNA", at positions 524 to 776 of the family's 1533-position model. The record is from RNAcentral.